Molecule: RNA transcript, 2224 nt
Organism: Diospyros lotus (date-plum)
Lineage: Eukaryota; Viridiplantae; Streptophyta; Magnoliopsida; Ericales; Ebenaceae
Gene name: probable disease resistance protein At5g66900
Exons: 4
Source: RefSeq, a predicted model, not a curated record
CUUAAUUACCCUAUUGGACUGGAGUUCCCGUGCAGGAAUCCGCUCAACUUCUCCAUUCCUAUUUCCUCGCUAUCACUCACUCCUUCUCCAUUCCUAUUUCCUCGCUAACCUCCUCACUUCCCGGCAUCACCGUCACGGAGUUUGCCAGUUCAAUUAGGGUUUCGGAAACACUUCAAUGGACGCAGCUAUUGGAGUUGCGUUUCAAGAACUCUUCACAGCUGUUAUGUAUGUCGGCCGAAGGGCCGCGAAAUUCAAGUCCAUCCUCAAGAAAAUCGAAUCCACCUUGAAUCGGGUAACCCCAAUGAUCGAAGAGAACGAGAACCUGGGCAGAAACCUGGACAUAUCGCAAGGGGAGACGGAAAUGUUCAUCUCUCGGUUCACUGAAGCCCGAAAGGUUGUGCUUAAAUGUCGCAAGGUACAGUGGUGGAACUUUUGCAUGAGGUUUUACUAUGCGCAGAAGCUGAUGGAAUUGCAUGAUUCUCUCUUGGAGUUCGCUCAGAUCUAUGCUCCAGUCGAUACGUGGAGAAACAGCAGGAGGAGUUUGGCGAUGUUGAACGAGAUAAACUCGAGAAUGGGUCGGACAGGGACGAUGGGAGGGAUGGGUGAAGCGAGUGGAUUCCUUCGUAGGUGUGGGGUUCCCAAAGCUCCCGAUUUUGUUGUGGGGUUCAAAGAGCCACUUCAGAUGUUAAAAGCGCGGCUUCUCAAGGAUAAAGAACAGUUGGUGGUGCUUUCUGCCCCUGGAGGGUGGGGGAAGACUACCUUGGCGAAAUUGCUCUGCCACGAUCAUGAAAGUAAAGAAAAAUUUAAGAGCAAUAUCUUCUUCUUCACCUUUUCGAACGAACCAAACCUCGAGGUUAUAGUUGGGAAGCUGUUUCAACGCAGGGGUUAUACAGUUGCUGAGUCCGACUUUCCAACUGAGGAAGAUGCCUUUAACCAAUUGGAACGCAUGCUGAAGGAAACAGGAUCUGAUCCCAUACUAUUGGUCUUGGAUGAUGUGUGGUCAGGGUCCGAAGACCAUAUUAUGAGAUUCAAAUUCCGAAUACCAAAUUCCCAGAUUUUGGUUACUUCAAGAUUGGUAUUUCCAGAAUUUUCUACUUCUACGUAUAGAUUGGAAUCGUUAAAAGAUAAAGAUGCCUGGGAUCUUUUCCAUCAUUGGGCCUUCCCAAAUGGGAACUCCUCCAUACCAGAUUAUGUUGUGAACAAGAUUGUGAGAGGCUGUGGGGGUUUACCUUUGUUCCUUGAAGUGUUUGGCAGAUCGCUCUGUGAACAACCAGUGGUGAUCUGGAACCGUACACUGAAGCAGUGGUCUGAGGAAAAACCAGCCCUCCAUCCUAAUGAAAAACUGCUUAAGCGUCUCAUAACCAGCUUUUGAUGCAUUGGAUAAUGUGUAUAAGAUAAAGGAUCGUUACCAGGACUUGGCUUCCUUUCCUGAGGAUCAGAGAAUCUGUGUUGCAGCUCUUAUAGAUAUGUGGGUGGAACUCUAUAGCCUAAAAGAAGAUGGUGAGGAUGUCAUGGCCAACCUCCAUGAACUGUCAAAUCGGAAUAUGGUGAAUCUUUUAUUUCCAAGAGCCCCAAAGAAUAAAGCAUCCUUGAUCUGGGUCAAAUGGAAGACUCGAAUCCUUCAAAAGAGAGGAACACUGUAGGUUACGAAGUCAGCCAAGAAGUACUGAGUGGAUCGGUUUAGCAAUGAAGUUGCUGGCAAACACAGAUGGAAUUUCUAAGGCAGCGCUAUUCCAGAAGAGCAAUUGGACUAUGAGCCUGCUAUUAUUAUACUGGUCAGAGAUGGACCGGACCAAUAAAGAGCUGUGAGUAUUGGAAGAUGGAAGAUUGCAGGUUUGCCCAUGCACAGGUGCAAGCGCACUGUCAAGCAUCUCUCAAAGGAAGAAAUCCCAUAAAUUAGUCAGUUAGUUAACAUGAGUGGAUAAGAGGUCCCCCUGGUAAUCCUGGGCCAUCCAACCGAGCAAAUUAAGUCCUUCAGCUAGAAGACAUGGUCAAAGUGGCUUCAGCGAGUGCCCAGUUUACCAGUUUGGUUUUUUUAUUUCUGUGCGAAAGCUCACCAAGAAAGUUGGAGACUUGCAGCGUGCAGGCAGAAAACCUGAUCCUAUCAAGUCUAGUAGAAAACCUGACUUCUAAGAGCAAAUAAACCAUUUUUUAUUAUUUAUUUAUUUGCGCUAAGGAGCCUAACUAUGAAAACACGAUCUAAAUAUUAUUUAGCUGAAAAUAA